RNAcentral lists this small RNA (113 nucleotides) under Eutreptiella gymnastica. Its description in RNAcentral is "partial Betaproteobacteria transfer-messenger RNA". The record is from RNAcentral. Lineage: Eukaryota; Euglenozoa; Euglenophyceae; Eutreptiales; Eutreptiaceae.
CCGGCGGCCGGAGGUUCGAUCUCCCCCACGGCCACCCCCAGGGCACUGUACCGCGGAGGGCAGUACCAACUCCGCUGUGAGGGAUGGCCGCGGUCAGGCGGCCCCUGAGCAGA